Molecule: ribosomal RNA, 1422 nt
Filed under: Phyllomedusa vaillantii (white-lined leaf frog)
Lineage: Eukaryota; Metazoa; Chordata; Amphibia; Anura; Hylidae
Description: partial 16S ribosomal RNA
Rfam family: Bacterial large subunit ribosomal RNA
Source: RNAcentral
GCCAAAAAUCUAACUCAAAAUUCAUUGAUAAAGUCAUAAAUUAUUUUACUUACAAUUAAAACAUUCAAUUACUUUAGUAAAGGCGAUCAAAACACUACUUCGAAGUUAUACCAUAGUACCGCAAGGGAAUGAUGAAAUAAAAAUGAAACAACUUUUAAGCACAAAAUAGUAGAGAUUAACUCUUGUACCUUUUGCAUCAUGAUUUAACUAGUCUAAUCAAGCAAAACGAACUUAAGUUUGGCCCCCCGAAACUAAACGAGCUACUUCAGGGCAGCUUCAUGAGCCAACCCGUCUCUGUUGCAAAAGAGUGGGAAGACCCUAAAGUAGAGGUGACAGACCUAACGAGCUUAGUGAUAGCUGGUUACUUAAGAAAAGGAUUUUAGUCCAACCCAACUUUUUCUAAAUACAUUAAAAUAAACAUUAAAUUUUGGAGCAAUUCAAAUAAGGUACAGCCUAUUUGAAACAGGAUACAACCUACGUAAAUGGGUAAUCUAUUUUAUUAAUAGUAAAGUAGGCCUAAAAGCAGCCAUCUUUAAUAAAAGCGUCAUAGCUUACUUAUCUCCAACCAAAAUUCCUUUAAUUACCAAAAACCCUUAAUUCAUAUUAAGUAACUCUAUAUAUUUAUAGAAAAUACUAUGUUAAAACUAGUAACAAGAACAAACCUUCUCCUAAAUGUAAGCGUAAAUCAGAAAGGACUAACCACUGAUUCUUAAUAUCCUAAAUUAUAGCAAUAACUUACCAAGAAAACCUUGCUCAAAAUGAUAUUAAUCUAAUACAAGAACAUUUCCGGACAGAUUAAAAAGAAAAGAAGGAACUCGGCAAACAUUAACCCCGCCUGUUUACCAAAAACAUCGCCUCCUGCCACCCAUAAGAGGUCCAGCCUGCCCAGUGACUCUGUUCAACGGCCGCGGUAUCCUAACCGUGCGAAGGUAGCGUAAUCACUUGUUCUUUAAAUGAGGACUAGUAUGAACGGCACUACGAGGGUUACACUGUCUCCUUUUCCAAAUCAGUGAAACUAAUCUCCCCGUGAAGAAGCGGGAAUAAACCUAUAAGACGAGAAGACCCUAUGGAGCUUCAAACUUCCCAGCAAUUAUUUUUUACUAAUUCAAUCUCAAGAUAAUAAAAUGAACCCCCUAUAAUAUGACUGCAAGUUUUCGGUUGGGGUGACCACGGAGUAAAAUCUACCCUCCACAAUGAAUUAUAAACCUUAGCUUUAAACAAAGAAACACAAUUCUAUGUAUCAAAAAAUUGACAUUAUUGACCCAAUAUUUUGACCAAUGAACCAAGUUACCCUAGGGAUAACAGCGCAAUCCAUCUCAAGAGCUCAUAUCGACAGAUGGGUUUACGACCUCGAUGUUGGAUCAGGGUAUCCAAGUGGUGUAGCCGCUACUAAAGGUUCGUUUGUUCAACGAUUAAAACCCU